GCCCGAUUGGUGAAGUGGCAUCACGCGACUAUGCCAACGUCGGUUCGCAGGUUCGAUUCCUGCAUCGGGCA
Molecule: transfer RNA, 71 nt
Filed under: uncultured Phycisphaerae bacterium
Lineage: Bacteria; Pseudomonadati; Planctomycetota; Phycisphaerae
Description: tRNA-Gly-GCC
Rfam family: tRNA
About the family: Transfer RNA (tRNA) molecules are approximately 80 nucleotides in length. Their secondary structure includes four short double-helical elements and three loops (D, anti-codon, and T loops). Further hydrogen bonds mediate the characteristic L-shaped molecular structure. tRNAs have two regions of fundamental functional importance: the anti-codon, which is responsible for specific mRNA codon recognition, and the 3' end, to which the tRNAs corresponding amino acid is attached (by aminoacyl-tRNA synthetases). tRNAs cope with the degeneracy of the genetic code in two manners: having more than one tRNA (with a specific anti-codon) for a particular amino acid; and 'wobble' base-pairing, i.e. permitting non-standard base-pairing at the 3rd anti-codon position.
Source: RNAcentral